CAGUAGCCGCGGUAAAACAGAGGGUGCGAGCGUUAAUCGGAUUUACUGGGCGUAAAGCGUGCGUAGGAGGCUAAUUGAGUCGGAUGUGAAAUCCCCGAGCUUAACUUGGGAAUUGCAUUCGAUACUGGUUAGCUAGAGUGUGGGAGAGGAUGGUAGAAUUCCAGGUGUAGCGGUGAAAUGCGUAGAGAUCUGGAGGAAUACCGAUGGCGAAGGCAGCCAUCUGGCCUAACACUGACGCUGAGGUACGAAAGCAUGGGGAGCAAACAGGAUUAGAUACCCGAGUAGUCCCUGUCUCUUAUAA
Molecule: ribosomal RNA, 301 nt
Filed under: uncultured bacterium
Lineage: Bacteria
Description: partial 16S ribosomal RNA
Rfam family: Bacterial small subunit ribosomal RNA
Source: RNAcentral